RNAcentral lists this ribosomal RNA (1140 nucleotides) under uncultured bacterium. RNAcentral's name for it is "bacterial SSU rRNA". It matches the Rfam family "Bacterial small subunit ribosomal RNA", at positions 8 to 1172 of the family's 1533-position model. The record is from RNAcentral.
GAGAGUUUGAUCCUGGCUCAGGACGAACGCUGGCGGCGCGCCUAACACAUGCAAGUCGAACGAAGCUUUGGAUUCGUCUGAAGCUUAGUGGCGGACGGGUGAGUAACACGUGAAGAACCUGCCUUACAGAGGGGGACAACAGUUGGAAACGACUGCUAAUACCGCAUAACAUUUUGGGAGGGCAUCCUUCUGAAAUCAAAGGAGCAAUCCGCUGUAAGAUGGCUUCGCGUCCGAUUAGACAGUUGGCGGGGUAACGGCCCACCAAAUCUACGAUCGGUAGCCGGACUGAGAGGUUGAUCGGCCACAUUGGGACUGAGACACGGCCCAGACUCCUACGGGAGGCAGCAGUGGGGAAUAUUGCACAAUGGAGGAAACUCUGAUGCAGCGACGCCGCGUGAGGGAAGAAGGUUUUCGGAUUGUAAACCUCUGUCUUCGGUGACGAAAAUGACGGUAGCCGAGGAGGAAGCCACGGCUAACUACGUGCCAGCAGCCGCGGUAAUACGUAGGUGGCAAGCGUUGUCCGGAAUUACUGGGUGUAAAGGGAGCGUAGGCGGGAAGGCAAGUUGAUUGUCUAAACUAUGGGCUCAACCCAUAGUCGCGAUCAAAACUACUUUUCUUGAGUGAAGUAGAGGUAAGCGGAAUUCCUAGUGUAGCGGUGAAAUGCGUAAAUAUUAGGAGGAACACCAGUGGCGAAGGCGGCUUACUGGGCUUUAACUGACGCUGAGGCUCGAAAGCGUGGGUAGCAAACAGGAUUAGAUACCCUGGUAGUCCACGCCGUAAACGAUGAUUACUAGGUGUGGGGGGACUGACCCCUUCCGUGCCGGAGUUAACACAAUAAGUAAUCCACCUGGGGAGUACGACCGCAAGGUUGAAACUCAAAGGAAUUGACGGGGGCCCGCACAAGCAGUGGAGUAUGUGGUUUAAUUCGAAGCAACGCGAAGAACCUUACCAGGUCUUGACAUCGUAUGACCGCCAUAGAAGUAUGGUUUUCCCUUCGGGGACAUAUAGACAGGUGGUGCAUGGUUGUCGUCAGCUCGUGUCGUGAGAUGUUGGGUUAAGUCCCGCAACGAGCGCAACCCUUAUGUUUAGUUGCUACGCAAGAGCACUCUAGACAGACUGCCGUUGACAAAACGGAGGAAG